This 99-nucleotide long non-coding RNA is filed under the name Calidris pugnax (ruff). RNAcentral describes it as "lncRNA (ENSCPUG00000008584.1)". The record is from RNAcentral. Lineage: Eukaryota; Metazoa; Chordata; Aves; Charadriiformes; Scolopacidae.
UAGUUCCAGUUCCAGUUCCAAUACUGGUUCCAGUUCCAUCCCAGUUCCAUCCCAGUGCCAUCCCAGUACCGAUACUGGUCCCGGUGCUGAUGCCAGUCC